UACACUCCUGCGGGAGGCAGCAGUGGGGAAUUUUGGACAAUGGGCGAAAGCCUGAUCCAGCCAUGCCGCGUGCAGGAUGAAGGCCUUCGGGUUGUAAACUGCUUUUGUACGGAACGAAACGGCCUUUUCUAAUAAAGAGGGCUAAUGACGGUACCGUAAGAAUAAGCACCGGCUAACUACGUGCCAGCAGCCGCGGUAAUACGUAGGGUGCAAGCGUUAAUCGGAAUUACUGGGCGUAAAGCGUGCGCAGGCGGUUAUGUAAGACAGUUGUGAAAUCCCCGGGCUCAACCUGGGAACUGCAUCUGUGACUGCAUAGCUAGAGUACGGUAGAGGGGGAUGGAAUUCCGCGUGUAGCAGUGAAAUGCGUAGAUAUGCGGAGGAACACCGAUGGCGAAGGCAAUCCCCUGGACCUGUACUGACGCUCAUGCACGAAAGCGUGGGGAGCAAACAGGAUUAGAUACCCUAGUAGUCCCAUGA
Molecule: ribosomal RNA, 477 nt
Filed under: uncultured organism
Description: partial 16S ribosomal RNA
Rfam family: Bacterial small subunit ribosomal RNA
Source: RNAcentral